Molecule: ribosomal RNA, 442 nt
Filed under: uncultured Leptolinea sp.
Lineage: Bacteria; Bacillati; Chloroflexota; Anaerolineae; Anaerolineales; Anaerolineaceae
Description: bacterial SSU rRNA
Rfam family: Bacterial small subunit ribosomal RNA
Source: RNAcentral
CAAGCGGUGGAGCAUGUGGUUUAAUUCGAUGGUACGCGAGGAACCUUACCAGGGUUUGACAUGCAAGUGGUAGGAAUCCGAAAGGUGACCGACCCUUCGGGGAGCUUGCACAGGUGCUGCAUGGCUGUCGUCAGCUCGUGUCGUGAGAUGUUCGGUUAAGUCCGCUAACGAGCGCAACCCUCGUCGUGUGUUAUACGUGUCACACGAUACUGCCGGUACCAAGCCGGAGGAAGGUGGGGAUGAUGUCAAGUCAGCAUGGCCUUUAUAUCCUGGGCUACACACACGCUACAAUGGCAGAUACAAUAGGUCGCUAAACCGCGAGGUGGAGCCAAUCCUCAAAGUCUGUCUCAGUUCAGAUUGUAGGCUGCAACUCGCCUGCAUGAAGUCGGAAUCGCUAGUAAUCGCGGAUCAGAAUGUCGCGGUGAAUACGUCCCCGGGUCUU